UACGUAGGAGGCGAGCGUUGUCCGGAAUUACUGGGCGUAAAGAGUUCGUAGGCGGUUUGUCGCGUCGUUUGUGAAAACCAGCAGCUCAACUGCUGGCUUGCAGGCGAUACGGGCAGACUUGAGUACUGCAGGGGAGACUGGAAUUCCUGGUGUAGCGGUGAAAUGCGCAGAUAUCAGGAGGAACACCGGUGGCGAAGGCGGGUCUCUGGGCAGUAACUGACGCUGAGGAACGAAAGCGUGGGUAGCGAACAGG
Molecule: ribosomal RNA, 253 nt
Filed under: uncultured bacterium
Lineage: Bacteria
Description: partial 16S ribosomal RNA
Rfam family: Bacterial small subunit ribosomal RNA
Source: RNAcentral